Molecule: long non-coding RNA, 1322 nt
Filed under: Pogona vitticeps (central bearded dragon)
Lineage: Eukaryota; Metazoa; Chordata; Lepidosauria; Squamata; Agamidae
Description: lncRNA (ENSPVIG00000025607.1)
Source: RNAcentral
AGCAGUGGUGACAGAAUCCCCUUGAAGUAUUCCUCCACUGAUGCUAAUUUUCCCAAUUUCUCCAUCACAGGCCAUUGAGAGAGUUUUCAAUUUUUCCAUGUUUUUCUUGUGGAACUUAUUUUUACUAAUCUCCCCACCAAAAAAUUAGGCAGAUGUUAAACCAACUGUGUGGCAAUGAUUCAAAUGCCUUUUUAUAGUCUAUACAGGCCAUGUUAAGAUUUGUUUUUCAUCUUUUUUGCAUUCUUCAGUAUCAUUUUAUCAAUAAGCAGCUAAUCUUUUGUGCUUCUUGGCUUUUUCAAGUUUCCUUUGUAUUCUGUUGUUGUUCCUGUUCCUGUUCCUGUUCCUGUUCCUGUUCCUGUUCCUGUUCCUGUUCCUGUUCCUGUUCCUGUUCCUGUUCCUGUUCCUGUUCCUGUUCCUGUUCCUGUUCCUGUUCCUGUUCCUGUUCCUGUUCCUGUUCCUGUUCCUGUUCCUGUUCCUGUUCCUGUUCCUGUUCCUGUUCCUGUUCCUGUUCCUGUUCCUGUUCCUGUUCCUGUUCCUGUUCCUGUUCCUGUUGUUGUUCCUCUUGUUGUUGCUGUUGCUGUUGCUGUUGCUGUUGCUGUUGCUGUUGUUGUUGUUGUUGUUGUUGUUGUUAUCUAUUUCUAUACCACCCACCUGCAGCUUCGCAAGCCCAGGAAACCGAAAACCGCCCCAACCUCCGUGCCGGGUGCCGGCUUCCUGGGCGUCCAAAUCCCCUCCACUGCCCUCUGCCUCCAGUUCCUGUUGCCCUCUGCCUGCUGUCCCCACGGGGACAGGAGGCAGAGGGCAGCGGGGACAGGAGGGAGAGGGCAGUGGGUGCAGCUUUGGAAGCCAGGGAAGCCAAAAGCCGCCCUGACCGCCGCGCCACCGCCCCAACCUCCGUGCCGGGUGCCGGCUUCCUGGGCGUCCAAAUCCCCUCCACUGCCCUCUGCCUCCAGUUCCUGUUGCCCUCUGCCUGCUGUCCCCACGGGGACAGGAGGCAGAGGGCAGCGGGGACAGGAGGGAGAGGGCAGUGGGUGCAGCUUUGGAAGCCAGGGAAGCCAAAAGCCGCCCUGACCGCCGCGCCAGUGCCGGCUUCCCGGGUGUCCAAACCCCCUUGGCUGCCCUCUGCCUCUUGCAGGGACAGGAGACAGAGGGCAACAUGGACGGGAGGCAUAGGGCAGCGGAGGGGGGUUGGACGCCCGCAUAGGGCAGCGGAGGGGGUUUGGACGCCCAGGAAGCCAGCACCCGGCACAGAGGUCAGGGCGGUGUUGGAAGCUUGGGAAGCUGAGCCUCCCUUUUCCUAAAUGUUGGGGCGAAGAAGCAGC